Molecule: ribosomal RNA, 253 nt
Filed under: uncultured bacterium
Lineage: Bacteria
Description: partial 16S ribosomal RNA
Rfam family: Bacterial small subunit ribosomal RNA
Source: RNAcentral
UACGUAGGGGGCUAGCGUUGUCCGGAUUUAUUGGGCGUAAAGAGCGUGUAGGCGGCCAGGUAGGUCUGCUGUGAAAACUCGAGGCUCAACCUCGAGACGUCGGCGGAAACCAUCUGGCUAGAGUCCGGAAGAGGAGAGUGGAAUUCCUGGUGCAGCGGUGAAAUGCGCAGAUAUCAGGAAGAACACCCGUGGCGAAGGCGGCUCUCUGGGACGGUACUGACGCUGAGACGCGAAAGCGUGGGGAGCGAACAGG